CUUGGAGGCAGCCCCUCAGGCACAUGCCGACCUCCAGAUGCCCGACGCCCCACUGAGAUCUUGACUCCAUCUGUGGGCGAGAUGCUGAGCCAGCCCGCCAGCUCAGCGCUGCCAAGAUUGCAGAUCCUCGGGAGCCAGGUGCUGCAUGAACUCACAAGUGCGCAGGCGCUCGCGCACACUCCCACUGAGAACAACAGAGAAAGAGACCCCCUCAGCCCUUCCACGAUGUGAGGACUCUGAGAAGAGCACCAGCUACAAAGCAGGAAGUCUGAAGUAGAAUCCUAACUUGCUGUUUUUGAGACAGGGUCUCUCACUGAGCCUGGAGCUCACCAGUCCAGCAUGCAUUCAUUCCCUCUCUGCUCUCAACUACGGAGGUGACCAGCUGCUUCAAGUUCCUGCUGCCUUGACUUCUCGCUGCAGUGAAUAAGGCAGCGAAACCCUGGACCGGCAGCAGACACUUCUUCCUUGAAGUUGCUUCCGGCGGGGCAUCUCCUCACUGCCACAGGAGAGAAACCAGGACAGCUGGGUGUCUGGCCACAGAAGGGAUAACAUGCACCUGUCUCAGCUCUGCCAGCCUACAGGGAAAAGGAAUAUGAUGGAAGACAGGAGCUGAUCUUCACCAACUGUCCAGUCUCCAGGGACACCAGCAAGACUUUGCUUGGAGAAGAAGUUCUGCGAGAGGAAGAUGGAGAUGCUAAGUCUAUGUCUUUGUCCUCUGUGUGGCUUGCCAGACCUGGGCAGUCCCGAGAAGCAGAAAGGCUUGCCAGCAUGGACGGUGUUGACUAUAUAAACUGAACACUGUGAAGAGUUCACACUGUUGAUCAGACUCUUGGGCACUGGACAAAAACCUCAAAACUCUGCCUGUCCUGCACUGGCUGCAAACAGCACACACUAACAUAGCUGAUUUUGGAAAGACAUACCCUGGUGCCAUUUUCACUAAAUAAGUCAGUUUCCAUAUGAGUGAGCGUAUGUGUCUGUAUGUGAAUGUCAUGCGUGUUUGUAGGUAUGUAUAUGUACAUAUCUAUGUUGUCUGUGAACAUGUGGAUGUGUCCACACCUUCAGUAGCACCUGUACUUUGCUGGAGUCAGAUGUAGACUUAGGAAUCCAUUUCUGAGGCAGGAGAAAAGCAGAAAAGUUAAUACAUGGGAAAGGAAAGAAGCCCUUCUUCCAGGGUCUCCUUGAAGUCUUCCGUCUGCCAAGAGUUGAAAACUUCAAUACAACUAAUAACACGUGUUGGUAUAAAGUUGCCUCCAUAGAGUUAAUAUUCCUUUUAUGUAGAGAUGUUUCAAAUAAAAACAUUAAAAUACCAACAGACCACUCAAGCUUAAGGAGUAAGAGUACAUGACCUUCAAGUAUGACCUUCUCCUGUCCUGGAUAUUAACCUACAAUUUCUGAAAAUCUAUCAACAAGACUGAAAACUUUGUCUACAGUAAAAAUGUCUUAGCUCCUUUGUGCAAACCUCAUGACCUGUGGUUUUCCCUGAUCAGCCUGGAAUCCUGUCCAGUGUGUCUUAGCAGCUACUCUGUGAUCCCACUGAAAAAAAAAAAAAAAAAAAACCGAGGAGUGUGGAGAGUCACUUAGAAACCCUGUCAACAGUGUAAAUUCAAAAGCGGCCAAAAAAACGAGAAGAAGCUGGCCUGAGCAGCCCACAAGUGGGUGUCCUUUCGCUAGCCCUGCUUUGUCCCUGAGAUCUCAGAGGGCACCUCGUAGAAGUGACCAGCCAUGCCUGAUUGUUGAUGUCUUAUCUAGUUCCUUCCCUAAACUGUUGAGCUCCUGGCGCUGAAUAACCGCUGGGUAGCUGAGACAAUAGGAUUAACUUCCUAUAUUCUUUCGGGUACUUUCACUAAUCUGUUAAACUCAGAGAACCCAUUACUCGCAAAUGACCUAAACCAGGCCUGCUGGGUUUAGCCAAAGCUCUUUUGCUGUAGGUAAUCUGAGCAUGAAGACCUGGGAAACUGAAAGAACUCCCCUUUAAAGUCUAUAAGCAUAAGGAAGCGCAUUUGUUCUUCCAGUUGCUCUAAGAUCUCCUAUCCCAGCUUCCCCCAUAGCAUCAAUUAAGGGGACAUAUGCCUGAAAUCUCACUCAGCAUAUCUCUCUACCAAACCUGGAGAGAGUCCUUAUUAUUCAAAACAUUCUAUGGACCACAUUCAAACCUGUGUUUAAAAUUUCUUCUUAAUAAACUGAAACGUGGGGGCUGGAGGGAUGGCUCAGCAGUUAAGAGCACUGGCACUUCUUCCAGAGAACUCAGGUUCAAUUCCCAGCACCCACAUGGCAGCUCAAAACUGUCUGUAACUCCAGUUCCAGAGGAUCUAACACCUUCACACAGACACACGUUCAGGCAAAACACCAAUGCACAUGAAAUAAAAAUAACUUGAUAGGCCAGAGUAUGUUUGUAAGGGGGGAGGAAAACCCCUUUUCUGAGGAGAAGGGGAGGGAGGAAAUGGGGAAAAGGGCAGGAGGGUGGGACCAGGAGGAGAGAGGGAGGAGUCUGUGAUCAGGAUGUAAAAUAAAUAAAUGAGUAUAUUUUUUAAAAUAUGUACACUAUUAAAAAUAAAAAACUGAAACUCUGC
Molecule: long non-coding RNA, 2570 nt
Organism: Meriones unguiculatus (Mongolian gerbil)
Lineage: Eukaryota; Metazoa; Chordata; Mammalia; Rodentia; Muridae
Exons: 4
Source: RefSeq, a predicted model, not a curated record